GUCCUUGACUUUCUUUCUUUCUUUCCUUCUUUCUUUCUUUUCUUUUUUUUUUUUUUUUUUGAGACAGAGUCUCACUGUUGUCCAGGUUGGAGUGGCAUAAUCACGGCUCACUGCAGUCUUGACCUUCCCAGGCUCUGAUGAUCCUCCCAUCUCAGCCUCCCAAGUAGCCGGGACUACAGGCACUCAUCACCAUGCCCAGCCACUUUUUGUAUUUUUUGUAGAGAUGGGGUUUCGCCAUGUUGCCCAGGCUGAUCUUGAACCCCUGUGCUCAAGUGAUCCGUUCGUCUCAGCCUCCCAAAAGUGCUGGGAUUACAGGCUUGAGCCACCGCGCCCGGCCUUGUCCUUCACAUUCUUAAAGUCAUCCUUGCUCUCUGGCAACAACAGAACAUUCAAGUCCUGUCCUGAUUCUUUCCUUCUCUGAGACAUGGAAUCUGUUGUCAUCUAAGCCUUGCAUUCUAAGGGGUCCCAGUUUCUAUAAAUGAAGAACAGUAUUUGAAACCAAAGGUUAGGUCCUGGAGGUCCACAUGACAGUUAGUGACAAAACUACUACCUCCUCUGUUGGCCACUUUUUUGUUUGUUUGUUUGUUUGAGACAGAGUCUCGCUGUGUUGCCAGGCUGGAGUGCAGUGGUGCCAUCUCGGCUUAUUGCAACCUCAACCUCCCAGGCUCAAGCAAUCCUCCCACCUCAGCCUCCCAAGUAGCUGGGCCUACAAGUGCACCACCAUGCCUGGCUAAUUUUUGUUUUCGUUUUUAAUAGAGACAGGUUUUCUUCAUGUUGCCCAGGCUGGUCUCAAACUCCUGGACUGAAGCCAUCUGCCCAUCUCAACUUCCCAAAAUGCUGGGAUUACAAGUGUGAUCCACUGCGCCUGGCCGAUAGUUGGCGACUUUUAAGAUAGACGUUAAUGUCAAAUUUGCUAACUUAACAUGCUAUUUGUUGUAUCCUGCUUGUAUUAGAGACAGUAGGGUAGCACUCAUCAUGAAAACUUUCCACAUCACUGAGAGACAAUGAGGGGACCAUACUCAGGUUUAUGCAGGAAUGAAGUGAAGGAACAUGUGGAAGUUACAGUCAGUGUGGGGAAGUCUGGAGAGUGUGAAUUAGGCCACACUCCAGGUAAGGUGAGGUCAGCUGGGAAACCAGUCCACUGUAGAGAUUUUGAAGUCAUAGUUUGAGAUAAGGUGAAGUGCUCAGUGGUUUUUCCACCUGUUAUUUUCACCUAGCAAAGACCUGUUUGAGCUACAGUCAUUCAGGAUGUGACCAUGUUGGUCCCCCAUCCCCAAAAGAUACGCUGAAGUCUUAAUCUCUGGCACCUCAGAAUGUGAUCUGAUUUGGAAAUAGGGUCUUUAUAGAGGUAAUCAAGUUAAAAUGAGGUCAUUAGGGUGAGCCUUAAUCCAGUAGAAUCUGUGUCUUUAUUUAAAAAGCAACUAGCCGGGCAUGGUGGUGCAUGCCUGUAGUCCCAGCUACUCAAGAGGCUGAGAUGGGAGAACUGCUUGAGCCCAGGAGUUCGAGGAUGGAGUGAGCUAUGAUCAUGCCACUGACUGCACUCCAGCCUGGGUAACAGAGCAAGAUCUCACCUCUAGAAAGAAAAAAAAAAAAAAA
Molecule: long non-coding RNA, 1596 nt
Organism: Macaca fascicularis (crab-eating macaque)
Lineage: Eukaryota; Metazoa; Chordata; Mammalia; Primates; Cercopithecidae
Source: Ensembl